ACGGAAGGCAGCAGUGGGGAAUAUUGGGCAAUGGGCGAAAGCCUGACCCAGCAACGCCGCGUGAAGGAUGAAGGUCUUCGGAUUGUAAACUUCUUUGAUCAGGGACGAAUUUUGACGGUACCUGAAGAACAAGUCACGGCUAACUACGUGCCAGCAGCCGCGGUAAUACGUAGGUGACAAGCGUUAUCCGGAUUUACUGGGUGUAAAGGGCGUGUAGGCGGUUUUGCAAGUCAGAUGUGAAAUUCCCGGGCUUAACUUGGGCGCUGCAUCUGAAACUGCAGAACUUGAGUACUGGAGGGGAUAGCGGAAUUCCUAGUGUAGCGGUAAAAUGCGCAGAUAUUAGGAGGAACACCGGUGGCGAAGGCGGCUAUCUGGACAGUAACUGACGCUGAGGCGCGAAAGCGUGGGGAGCAAACAGGAUUAGAUACCCUGGUA
Molecule: ribosomal RNA, 435 nt
Filed under: uncultured Saccharofermentans sp.
Lineage: Bacteria; Bacillati; Bacillota; Clostridia; Eubacteriales; Oscillospiraceae
Description: bacterial SSU rRNA
Rfam family: Bacterial small subunit ribosomal RNA
Source: RNAcentral